UNAAAGAGAUAGGAGUCGAACCUACGUCUAAAGGAUCAAAACCCUUCGC
RNAcentral lists this transfer RNA (49 nucleotides) under Polypedates leucomystax (Java whipping frog). Its description in RNAcentral is "partial tRNA-Gln". The record is from RNAcentral. Lineage: Eukaryota; Metazoa; Chordata; Amphibia; Anura; Rhacophoridae.